RNAcentral lists this ribosomal RNA (445 nucleotides) under uncultured soil bacterium. Its description in RNAcentral is "bacterial SSU rRNA". It matches the Rfam family "Bacterial small subunit ribosomal RNA", at positions 26 to 518 of the family's 1533-position model. The record is from RNAcentral.
AGAACGAACGCUGGCGGCAUGCCUAAUACAUGCAAGUCGAACGAACACUUCGGUGUUAGUGGCGCACGGGUGCGUAACGCGUGGGAAUCUGCCCUUGGGUUCGGAAUAACAGUUGGAAACGACUGCUAAUACCGGAUGAUAUCGAAAGAUCAAAGAUUUAUCGCCCAGGGAUGAGCCCGCGUAGGAUUAGCUAGUUGGUGAGGUAAAGGCUCACCAAGGCGACGAUCCUUAGCUGGUCUGAGAGGAUGAUCAGCCACACUGGGACUGAGACACGGCCCAGACUCCUACGGGAGGCAGCAGUAGGGAAUAUUGGACAAUGGGCGCAAGCCUGAUCCAGCAAUGCCGCGUGAGUGAUGAAGGCCUUAGGGUUGUAAAGCUCUUUUACCCGAGAUGAUAAUGACAGUAUCGGAGAAUAAGCCCCGGCUAACUCCGUGCCAGCAGUCGC